AGAGCGGUAUCGUAAAGCCUGGUGACCCCGGCCACUCGUAGAGUGUCCUAGCCUCCGUUGGAAUGCGGCGGGAAAUAUUGAAAUCAAGGCCCAGGGUGAGCCGCUCG
Molecule: small RNA, 107 nt
Filed under: Longilinea arvoryzae
Lineage: Bacteria; Bacillati; Chloroflexota; Anaerolineae; Anaerolineales; Anaerolineaceae
Description: DUF3800-III RNA
Rfam family: DUF3800-III RNA
Source: Rfam by way of RNAcentral